RNAcentral lists this ribosomal RNA (894 nucleotides) under Salmonella enterica subsp. enterica. RNAcentral's name for it is "partial 23S ribosomal RNA". It matches the Rfam family "Bacterial large subunit ribosomal RNA", at positions 911 to 1785 of the family's 2925-position model. The record is from RNAcentral. Lineage: Bacteria; Pseudomonadati; Pseudomonadota; Gammaproteobacteria; Enterobacterales; Enterobacteriaceae.
UGUUUCGGCUAGGGGGCCAUCCCGGCUUACCAACCCGAUGCAAACUGCGAAUACCGGAGAAUGUUAUCACGGGAGACACACGGCGGGUGCUAACGUCCGUCGUGAAGAGGGAAACAACCCAGACCGCCAGCUAAGGUCCCAAAGUCAUGGUUAAGUGGGAAACGAUGUGGGAAGGCCCAGACAGCCAGGAUGUUGGCUUAGAAGCAGCCAUCAUUUAAAGAAAGCGUAAUAGCUCACUGGUCGAGUCGGCCUGCGCGGAAGAUGUAACGGGGCUAAACCAUGCACCGAAGCUGCGGCAGCGACACUCAGGUGUUGUUGGGUAGGGGAGCGUUCUGUAAGCCUGUGAAGGUGGCCUGUGAGGGUUGCUGGAGGUAUCAGAAGUGCGAAUGCUGACAUAAGUAACGAUAAAGCGGGUGAAAAGCCCGCUCGCCGGAAGACCAAGGGUUCCUGUCCAACGUUAAUCGGGGCAGGGUGAGUCGACCCCUAAGGCGAGGCCGAAAGGCGUAGUCGAUGGGAAACGGGUUAAUAUUCCCGUACUUGGUGUUACUGCGAAGGGGGGACGGAGAAGGCUAUGUUGGCCGGGCGACGGUUGUCCCGGUUUAAGCGUGUAGGUGUGUGUUCCAGGUAAAUCCGGUUCACUUUAACACUGAGGCGUGACGACGAGGCACUACGGUGCUGAAGCAACAAAUGCCCUGCUUCCAGGAAAAGCCUCUAAGCAUCAGGUAACAUCAAAUCGUACCCCAAACCGACACAGGUGGUCAGGUAGAGAAUACCAAGGCGCUUGAGAGAACUCGGGUGAAGGAACUAGGCAAAAUGGUGCCGUAACUUCGGGAGAAGGCACGCUGACAUGUAGGUGAAGUGAUUUACUCAUGGAGCUGAAGUCAGUCGAAGAUA